GGUGCACUCGAUCGUCUUCAGGCCAGCAUCGGUUUCGGUGGCGGGAUAAAGGCUCUAGGAAUGUGGCUCUUCGGAGUGUUAUAGCCUAGGGUGCAAUGCCGCCUACCGGGACCGAGGACCGCGCUUCGGCUAGGAUGCUGGCGUAAUGGUUGUAAGCGGCCCGUCUUGAAACACGGACCAAGGAGUCUAACAUCUAUGCGAGUGUUUGGGUGUCAAACCCAUACGCGUAAUGAAAGUGAACGGAGGUGAGAGCCCUUUAGGGCGCAUCAUCGACCGAUCCUGAUGUCUUCGGAUGGAUUUGAGUAAGAGCAUAGCUGUUGGGACCCGAAAGAUGGUGAACUAUGCGUGAAUAGGGUGAAGCCAGAGGAAACUCUGGUGGAGGCUCGCAGCGGUUCUGACGUGCAAAUCGAUCGUCAAAUUUGCGUAUAGGGGCGAAAGACUAAUCG
RNAcentral lists this ribosomal RNA (446 nucleotides) under Barrenia taeda. Its description in RNAcentral is "eukaryotic LSU rRNA". It matches the Rfam family "Eukaryotic large subunit ribosomal RNA", at positions 474 to 937 of the family's 3401-position model. Lineage: Eukaryota; Fungi; Ascomycota; Leotiomycetes; Helotiales; Mollisiaceae. The record is from RNAcentral.